This 1229-nucleotide long non-coding RNA is filed under the name Cottoperca gobio. Its description in RNAcentral is "lncRNA (ENSCGOG00000022994.1)". The record is from RNAcentral. Lineage: Eukaryota; Metazoa; Chordata; Actinopteri; Perciformes; Bovichtidae.
GUGGUGGUCAUCUCCUGUGUGCUGGGAGGAGUUCUUCUCAUCCUUGUGCUGGCUUUGCUCAUAUACUGCUGCUGGAGAGGAUGCUCAAUGAGCAAGCCAGACUACAACAGCAGUCCAUACUCAUCAGGUGACGUAAACCAGCCCUGGCCCACUGGCGUCACCUCCAUCCCCCGGGCCACCACUAACUGGGAUGCAGCUCCUCCCAUAGAAAUGACAGAUGGGGGCAGCACUCGUGUCCUGGUGGACAAAAAGCAUGAAACCAACGGAUUGGGGUUUCAUCCGAAGCAGAUAGGAUGGAAAAGGUCGGGAUCAUACGAUGUCAACCCAGAGGGGAUGAACACCUUCAAAGGUAAAAAUCCAUCCCGUUACUCCUAUCUGGUUCAAGGACACGAGAACCCCUACUUCUUAGCAGGAGAAGGCAAGAAAAACUGAUGGGAUCAACCAGAAGCCACUGGUUUUAAACUCUGGGUCUACAGGCUCAUCUCCUGAGCAGGACCCGGUUAUUUAUACUUUCUUGAAUUUGCUUUGAUUAAGGACAUUUUCUAACUGGGAAACAGCCACCAAAGGUUUUCAUUCAUACGAGCAAGAACAUUUGAACAACUUCUUUUUGCGUGUUCUUCGGGAGAGCUAAAUGUUGCUGAUCAUGACCAGUAGAUGUCGCUGUUGCUCAGUGUCAUUCUCCUACUGUUUUAGAAGGUACGUUACAUUUUUCUUAUGCUUUUUAUUAAGAAAUCCUCCUGUAGUCUUUUUAAAUGAAGCUUCUUAUAUUUCUUAUUGCACUAAAGUGUCUGUUAAGUUUACUCUGAAAUCUAAGGUGAAUGUGGGCUUUUAGAUAUUUUUAUGAGGGGUAUGAUGGUUUUUUUAGAAAAGUAAAUUUUGUACGACUAAAGGGGCUGGAUCCCUUGUUCGGGGUGUUUUUAAAGGGAUUUAACUUUAGCUGUCUAAAGCUGAAUAUUCUCUGUAUUUGUUGAAGCUGCACUUGCUAAAUGUGCCUGUUUUUAAUCGUCUGUUUGACAAACAGGAACCUGUCUCCUAGAUGUGCCAAUUAUCAGUUGUAUACAUUUAUAUAUAUUUAUCCUUGUGUGUCUGAGACAGUGCACUCUUUUAUAAGUGUGUAACGGUUUUGUAAAUAAUUGAAGAUCUUUUGUCACAGAAUGUGUAUGUGCGGCGUGUGUGCAAUGGAAAUAAAUUAAUUUAAACACAACAGUUUUAUUUCUCAUCAUUGGUGG